AUGCGGCCAACUCUCAUGUCCGUGUUCCUGGAAAUUCAAGCUUAUUUCAUCGGAAAAGGCGGUUAUAGGAAUUCUGAUUCUCCAAUGCCCCGUGGAGAAGUUAUCAUUGGUGGUUACAGUAUAACAAACGGUUAUUUCAACAAUGAAGCAAAAACAGAUGAGGUGUAUAAGGUGGACGUGAGAGGAAUAUGCUGGUUUUACACUGGAGAUAUCGGCCAGCUCCGUCCUGAUGGAUGCAUUGAGAUCAUCGACAGGGAAAAAUACAUAUUUGAACCAGCUCUACAUACAAGCAAUUAUGUGGAGAGUAUCAUGGCCUAUGCUGAUCCAUUUCAUACUUACUGUGUUGCACUGGUAGUUUCACCACACCAGGCCUUGAAGAAGUGGGCUCAAAAUUCAGGGAUAAGCUACAAAGACAUUGAGCAGCUGUGUCAUAAUGAUCAAGCAAUUAAGGAGGUCCAGCAGUCUCUAUCAAAGGGCACAAAAGCAGAAAGGCUUGAGAAGUUCGAAAUACCUGCUAAGAUCGUCUUUUGCCUGAAUGUUGGACGAGUCUGGCUUGUGACUAAGAGGGAGAAGCUAAAGACUAAAUUUCAAGAUGAUCUGAAGAAGCUCGAUCACUGA
RNAcentral lists this ribosomal RNA (618 nucleotides) under Triticum aestivum (bread wheat). RNAcentral describes it as "partial small subunit ribosomal RNA". Lineage: Eukaryota; Viridiplantae; Streptophyta; Magnoliopsida; Poales; Poaceae. The record is from RNAcentral.